GCUCCAUUAGCUCAGUUGGUUUAGAGCUUCGUGCUUAUAGUUGGUUGGUUCUUUCUUAAUUAAAAAUUAGGGAAACUAAUCUCAUAAAACUAUGAAAGAGUCACGCGGAGGUCGCCAGUUCGAUCCUGGCAUGGAGCA
Molecule: transfer RNA, 138 nt
Filed under: Coemansia sp. RSA 1290
Lineage: Eukaryota; Fungi; Kickxellomycota; Kickxellomycetes; Kickxellales; Kickxellaceae
Also listed under: 2 other names
Description: tRNA-Ile
Rfam family: tRNA
About the family: Transfer RNA (tRNA) molecules are approximately 80 nucleotides in length. Their secondary structure includes four short double-helical elements and three loops (D, anti-codon, and T loops).
Source: RNAcentral